Bufo bufo (common toad) is the source of this 2600-nucleotide RNA transcript. It is a transcript of the gene named phosphatidylinositol glycan anchor biosynthesis class W, with no coding region annotated. The transcript is spliced from 4 exons. The record is from RefSeq and is a predicted model, not a curated record. Lineage: Eukaryota; Metazoa; Chordata; Amphibia; Anura; Bufonidae.
GCCACUGGAUGGCUAACCCAAACUCCAGCUGGCGAAUUAGUGUUCUCAUUUUGAACAAAAUCGGAAAAAAGGGGAUAUAAACCUGAAACAAAUUUCUGAUUAGACAACAAAUUAGACAGAGACUGUACAUGUAGUUUCUCACCACUAGAUGGAACCUCCUGCCCAGAAACCGAGGACUGAGGGAACUUCAGCUUCCCAGGAAAUUCACCGCUGACCUCAGGAACUUUAGCAGGUGCCGGAGUAGAGGAUUCUCCCUUGCUGUAUCCAGGCAAUGCCCUCGUGGAAGUUAAAGGGGAUUAUUGGAGUUUUCGAGGACUUUAUCUUGUGCUCAUCGUUAGAAAACACAGGGAAACAAAAAUCUAGUAGGAAAAAAAGAUGUCUGAGAAGCAGCUUAAAGAAUCCUUUGUAAGGAACCUCAACGGCACCAGCAUCAGCGAGAUCUCAUUGGGCAUAAGUAUAACCCCUCUCUGCAUUCUCUUCCGGGGUUUGAUACUCAUCUCCUUUUAUCAAACGUUUGGUGAUGUGUUUUAUUCAUGGAAAUAUCGCCUUUUUCUUGAUUUUAUUCUGUUAGUGCUUCCACAGGUAUUGUCAUGCACGGUCUUCUCUGAUUUCCUAGCCCUGGUGGUGGGAUGUAUUUCAGUAACUUGUGCUUCGGGCCUCUACAUGAUCUACAGAAAACGGAUUCCUUACAAAAGCGCGUCUCUUCUGAACGUCCUUCAGUCCUUUUUGAACGUACGGAUUGAAGACCGAAAGGUGCCGUCCGUUACAACUUUUCGCGUUUUCCUUAACUUGCUUACCGCCAUAUCUAUUUUAGCUGUUGAUUUUCCCAUGUUUCCGAGGCGCUACGCUAAAACGGAAACCUAUGGCACGGGCGUAAUGGAUCUGGGGGUGGGAUGUUUUACGUUUGCCAACGCCCUUAUUUCCCCAGAAGCUAGAGCACGACAUGAAGAAAAGCUCUCUCCGCUGCACAGAAUGAAGAAACAGCUCGUUGCAGUUUGGCCGUUGGUUUUUCUCGGACUUGCGCGACUCCUCAGCGUCAAAGCAGUAGAUUACCAUGAACAUGUCUCUGAGUAUGGCGUCCAUUGGAACUUUUUCUUCACGUUGGCGAUUGUCAGGGUGUUUUCGUCUUUUCUGCUGACUAUGAUUCCAGCGCAAAAAAUCUGGAUUGCAGCGACAGUCAUUAUUUCGAGCUAUCAAAUAGCCCUGGAAACAACAUAUUUGAAGGCUUUCAUCUUGCACGGCAGUGAUAAUAGAGGCACAAGACUUGGCUUUCUUAACGCAAACCGGGAAGGAAUAUUCUCUGUCAUUGGAUAUGUGGGAAUUUAUAUGAUCGGAGUUCAAGUCGGGUCUUACCUACUAAAGAAAAGGACAUUGGUGAAAGAAUGGGCGCAAUUAUUGGCUAAGUUCACCAUACUUUCAGUUACGCUCUUUAUUAGUGUGACCAUAGUUCAGGUUUACAUCGAACCCAUUUCCCGUAGAAUGGUGAACUUACCAUUUUGCAUUUGGACUAUCGGCCAGUGUAUGGUUUGGCUUUGCAUGGUUUUUUUCUGUGAUCUUCUUUUGCUGUUUGUUCAGUAUCUGAUACCUGGAAGCCGUGUUCCUAGCACAUGGAAUAUAUGCAGUCGCGUGGACAGUCGUCAGAAAAAUGACUCUCAUCCAAAAUAUGAAAAAAGAAAAAAAGAAAUUGACUUUUGUCUAAUUGAAGCGAUCAAUAGGAAUCAGCUGCUGUUGUUCUUGCACUCAAACAUCAUGACUGGCGUGGUGAACCUAUUCAUUGAUACCAUUCACAGUACCAGUUUGUUCUCACUCAUUGUACUUCUUGUCUACAUGUUUUUAAACUGCUUGAUUUCAGGUAUUUUACACGUGAAAAAUAUUACUGUUAAGUGGUGGUGAGUAUUGGUUAAAGUUGUCGUCCGAGAUUCUGAUAUUGAUGGCUUAUCCUCACGUUAGAUGAUCAGUAUCUGAUCGGUGGGGGUCCAACUUCCGGCAUUGCCGCCGAUCAGCUGUUUGAAGAGGCCAUGCCUUCUUCCUAGGCCAGUGACAUCAAGUUAAUCACUCACAUGUCCUAGGCACCAUUCAAGUGAAUGGUAACGCAGCUCAGCUCCAAUCACAGCCGCUAUACAAUGGGCAGCACUGUGCUUGGUCAGCUGCAAGGAGGCCGCAACAGUUAACUAAGUGCCAUGGCCUCUUUAAACAGCUGAUCGGCGGGGGUGCCGGGUGUCAGACUCCAACAAAUCGUAUACUGAUGACCCCAGAAUGAAAAGGAAAUGAAAAACUGGUUCUACUGAAUCUUUUCCCACAGGACUAUAUACCAAUCUGCUCAGCUCCUCCUGUUACAUAAUCUGCAGCCCUGACGUAAUAAUCAGCAUGACAGAUUCGCUUUAAAUGAAUUGUACUUGUUGCCAGAGGACAAUAAGGUUUCUACUUGAAAAAUGGGGGCUGGACCCAAGUGGAUAUAAAUAUUUGCACUAAACCUUUUUAAAGGACCACGAAGGAUAGAAUCCGACCAAAUAAAAAAUAUAAUAAAAGCCUAACUUUUUUUUCCUUUCUCCUCUAUUGUCCUAUAUCACAAUUGCAGAACUUAAAAAAUAAAUUAUUAA